Molecule: long non-coding RNA, 472 nt
Filed under: Carica papaya (papaya)
Lineage: Eukaryota; Viridiplantae; Streptophyta; Magnoliopsida; Brassicales; Caricaceae
Description: long non-coding RNA (CPAP_LNC000522)
Source: RNAcentral
AAAAUGCAGACUGAUAGAUUUGUGCCAAGUGGCAAAAUCUUGUAAGGAGAGAGGAAAGGAAAAAGUGACUUAAUGUGAUGCGAUGAUGGAUCGACGCAACUGAUGGAUGGUUGAUAUGAUGACAGUGCAAAAAACAGAGGCGUGCCACCGAACCAGUGAUGGCACGCUGCCCAACUAGAGACAACACGUUGCCCAAGGGACAAUGCCCAUUGCCCGAGGUAGCACUGCCACCCUAGCCUGGCACGCGCGCAGGCCUGCUGCGUGUUGGCGAUGCCAAUUGCAUGCAUGGAGCUGUGCAGCCGUCUGCGUAAACCACACGAUCCUCGCACUUACGUGGAUAGAACGUGUGCAUAGGUGCACAUCUCACGCCCGUGUGGAUGGGACGUGUGCCUAUGCUAGCCGCGCACGAUGCAUGGAGCCCACGUGGGCAGGGAGGCCUUCGUGCGGGCUUUUCCCACUAGACUUUUCCACC